This 324-nucleotide ribosomal RNA is filed under the name Cormocephalus sp. CES08981. RNAcentral's name for it is "partial 28S ribosomal RNA". It matches the Rfam family "Eukaryotic large subunit ribosomal RNA", at positions 705 to 945 of the family's 3401-position model. The record is from RNAcentral. Lineage: Eukaryota; Metazoa; Arthropoda; Chilopoda; Scolopendromorpha; Scolopendridae.
AGCCCGAAGGCGCAAUGAAAGUGAAGGUCGGUGGUUCUGGCCGACCGAGGCGGGAUCCGUCCGGGUUCGAUCCGUCGAUCGCUGACUGGCCGCAAGGUCCGUUUCGGUCGCGGCAAAGAGCCCGGCGGCGCACCGCCGGCCCGUCUCGACCGCUUCUUGUCGGCGAGGCGGAGCAAGAGCGCACACGUUGGGACCCGAAAGAUGGUGAACUAUGCUCGGGCAGGACGAAGCCAGAGGAAACUCUGGUGGAGGUCCGUAGCGAUUCUGACGUGCAAAUCGAUCGUCGGACCCGAGUAUAGGGGCGAAAGACUAAUCGAACCGUCU